This 521-nucleotide ribosomal RNA is filed under the name uncultured microorganism. RNAcentral's name for it is "bacterial SSU rRNA". It matches the Rfam family "Bacterial small subunit ribosomal RNA", at positions 9 to 511 of the family's 1533-position model. The record is from RNAcentral.
GAGUUUGAUCAUGGCUCAGGAUGAACGCUGGCGGCGUGCCUAAUACAUGCAAGUCGAGCGAUCAGACGAGGAGCUUGCUCCUCUGACGUUAGCGGCGGACGGGUGAGUAACACGUGGAUAACCUACCUAUAAGACUGGGAUAACUUCGGGAAACCGGAGCUAAUACCGGAUAAUAUAUUGAACCGCAUGGUUCAAUAGUGAAAGACGGUUUUGCUGUCACUUAUAGAUGGAUCCGCGCCGCAUUAGCUAGUUGGUAAGGUAACGGCUUACCAAGGCAACGAUGCGUAGCCGACCUGGGAGGGUGAUCGGCCACACUGGAACUGAGACACGGCCCAGACUCCUACGGGAGGCAGCAGUAGGGAAUCUUCCGCAAUGGGCGAAAGCCUGACGGAGCAACGCCGCGUGAGUGAUGAAGGUCUUCGGAUCGUAAAACUCUGUUAUUAGGGAAGAACAAAUGUGUAAGUAACUAUGCACGUCUUGACGGUACCUAAAUCAGAAAGCCACGGCUAACUACGUGCCAC